Molecule: ribosomal RNA, 253 nt
Filed under: uncultured bacterium
Lineage: Bacteria
Description: partial 16S ribosomal RNA
Rfam family: Bacterial small subunit ribosomal RNA
Source: RNAcentral
UACGUAGGGUGCAAGCGUUGUCCGGAAUUAUUGGGCGUAAAGAGCUCGUAGGCGGUUUGUUGCGUCGGCUGUGAAAUCCCGAGGCUCAACCUCGGGUCUGCAGUCGAUACGAGCAAACUAGAGUGUUGCAGGGGAGACUGGAAUUCCUGGUGUAGCGGUGAAAUGCGCAGAUAUCAGGAGGAACACCGGUGGCGAAGGCGGGUCUCUGGGCAACAACUGACGCUGAGCAGCGAAAGCGUGGGGAGCGAACAGG